RNAcentral lists this ribosomal RNA (834 nucleotides) under Alloarthopyrenia italica. RNAcentral's name for it is "SSU rRNA". It matches the Rfam family "Bacterial small subunit ribosomal RNA", at positions 348 to 1229 of the family's 1533-position model. The record is from RNAcentral. Lineage: Eukaryota; Fungi; Ascomycota; Dothideomycetes; Trypetheliales; Trypetheliaceae.
UCACGUGGGGGGGAAGUUGGUCAAUACCUAACGGCUGAACCAGCAACUUGGGGGAAUGUAAAUGAAAUAAGUGAAAAAAUUAACUUUAAAUAUAGUUCUAGAUAAAAUAUUGAUAAUGACAAAAUUUUAUCUAUAUGUCUUGACCAAAUCUUGUGCCAGCAGUCGCGGCAACACAAGGAAGACUAGUGUUAUUCAUCUUUAAUCGGUUUAAAGGGUACCUAGACGGUAAAUUAGGCCUUAUUCAACAUGUUGAAUUAGAGGAACGUUUUUACUAGAGUUAUAUAAAUAGGAAUAUGUUAGUAUUACCAGAGUAGAGAUGAAAUUCAGUAAUACUGUUAAGACUGGUAAAGGCAAAAGCAAACCUUUAUAUAUUAACUGACGUUGAGGGACGAAGGCUUGGGGAGCGAAUAGGAUUCGGUACCCUAAUAGUCCAGGCAGAAAAUUAUGAAUGCCAUAGAUUAUAUAAAAUAAUCUAUAAAUGAAAGUGUAAGCAUUCCACCUCAAGAGUAAUGUGGCAACGCAGGAACUGAAAUCAUUAGACCGUUUCUGAUACCAGUAGUGAAGUAUGUUAUUCAAUUUGAUGACCCGCAAAUAACCUUACCACAAUUUGAAUAUAUUAAAAAAAUAGUAUUUAACCCUUUUUUUUUAAUAUACAAGCGUUGCAUUGUUGUCUUUAGUUAAUGUUGUGAGAUUUGGUUAGAUUCAUUAAAUUAACGUAAUCCUAUACUUUAUUUAGAUAUUAAUAAAGUAGUUCACCGCUAUAUUGGAUAUUUAUAAAUAGGAACAAGACAAGUCGUAAUGACCUUAAUAUUGUGGGCUUAAACCCGGGCCACA